This 253-nucleotide ribosomal RNA is filed under the name uncultured bacterium. Its description in RNAcentral is "partial 16S ribosomal RNA". It matches the Rfam family "Bacterial small subunit ribosomal RNA", at positions 524 to 776 of the family's 1533-position model. The record is from RNAcentral.
GACGUAGGGUGCAAGCGUUGUCCGGAUUUACUGGGCGUAAAGCGCGCGUAGGCGGCUCGUUAAGUGUGAAGUGAAAUCCCUGGGCUCAACUCAGGAACUGCUUUACAUACUGGCGAGCUUGAGGGAUGCAGAGGUCUGUGGAAUUCCUGGUGUAACGGUGAAAUGCGUAGAGAUCAGGAGGAACACCGGUGGCGAAGGCGGCCCACUGGGCAGUCACUGACGCUGAGGCGCGAAAGCUCGGGGAGCGAACGGG